GGAGCGAACGCUGGCGGCAGGCCUAACACAUGCAAGUCGAGCGCCCCGCAAGGGGAGCGGCAGACGGGAGAGUAACACGUGGGAACGUACCCUUUGGUUCGGAACAACACAGGGAAACUUGUGCUAAUACCGGAUAAGCCCUUACGGGGAAAGAUUUAUCGCCGAAAGAUUGGCCCGCGUCUGAUUAGCUAGUUGGUGAGGUAACGGCUCACCAAGGCGACGAUCAGUAGCUGGUCUGAGAGGAUGAUCAGCCACAUUGGGACUGAGACACGGCCCAAACUCCUACGGGAGGCAGCAGUGGGGAAUAUUGGACAAUGGCGCAAGCCUGAUCCAGCCAUGCCGCGUGAGUGAUGAAGGCCCUAGGGUUGUAAAGCUCUUUUGUGCGGGAAGAUAAUGACGGUACCGCAAGAAUAAGCCCGGCUAACUCGUGCCAGCAGCCGC
RNAcentral lists this ribosomal RNA (441 nucleotides) under uncultured bacterium. RNAcentral describes it as "SSU rRNA". It matches the Rfam family "Bacterial small subunit ribosomal RNA", at positions 27 to 518 of the family's 1533-position model. The record is from RNAcentral.